RNAcentral lists this ribosomal RNA (2160 nucleotides) under seawater metagenome. RNAcentral describes it as "bacterial LSU rRNA". It matches the Rfam family "Bacterial large subunit ribosomal RNA", at positions 866 to 2925 of the family's 2925-position model. The record is from RNAcentral.
GUCUUUAGGGACAGCGUUAUAUGUUGCGCUUUGGAGGUAGAGCACUGAUUGAUCUAGGGGGCCAACAAGCUUACCAAACUCAGUCAAACUCCGAAUGCCAAAGUGUUUAAAUAUAGCAGUGAGCCCGUGGGGGAUAAGCUCCACGGACGAGAGGGAAACAACCCAGAACAACAGCUAAGGCCCCUAAUUGUAUAUUAAGUGUGAAACGAUGUGAAAGUGUUCAGACAGCCAGGAGGUUGGCUUAGAAGCAGCCAUUCCUUUAAAGAGUGCGUAACAGCUCACUGGUCGAAUGUUUUCGCGCGGAAGAUGUAACGGGGCUAAAUAUACAGCCGAAGCUUUGUCAUCAUAUUAUUAAUCCAGAUUUCGAUCCAGGAAAUAUGAUGGGUAGGAGAGCGUUGUAUGGGCAAUGAAGCAGCAACGAGAGUUAGUUGUGGAGACCAUACAAGUGAGAAUGUUGGCAUGAGUAGCGAAGGAAGAGUGAGAAUCUCUUCCGCCGAAUGUCCAAGGGUUCCUGGGGAAGGUUCGUCCGCCCAGGGUUAGUCGGGACCUAAGACGAGGUCGAGAGACGUAGCCGAUGGAUAACAGAUUGAUAUUUCUGUACCACUAUAUAAGCGCCAAAAUCGAAUAUAUGUCGCUAAGGAAAGCCUUCGGGCCUACCGACCCACAUAUUAUUAGAUUAGCAAUGGAGUGACGGAGAAGGAUAAAUGAGCCCAGGCGAUGGUUGACCUGGGGUAAAUGCGUAGGGUGAUCGACAGGUAAAUCCGUUGAUCAUGAAACCUGAGACAUGAUGCCGAGCCGCUUUUAGGCGAAGUCAUUGAUUCCAUACUUCCAAGAAAACCUUCUAGUUAGUUUAUAUAGUGCCCGUACCCCAAACCGACACAGGUGGACAAGUAGAGAAUACUAAGGCGAGCGAGAGAACUCUGGUUAAGGAACUCGGCAAAAUAGUUCCGUAACUUCGGAAGAAGGAACGCCCCAGUAAAGUGAGUGAUUAACUUCAUUAGCUUGAACGGGCCGCAGUGAUCAGACUCAAGCGACUGUUUAUCAAAAACACAGGAGGGUGCAAAGUUCGAAUACAACGUAUACCCUCUGACACCUGCCCGGUGCUGGAAGGUUAAGUGGAUAGGUUAGCUUCGGCGAAGCUUUGAAAUUAAGCCCCAGUAAACGGCGGCCGUAACUAUAACGGUCCUAAGGUAGCGAAAUUCCUUGUCGGGUAAGUUCCGACCUGCACGAAUGGUGUAACGAUUUGAGUACUGUCUCAACCAGAGACUCGGCGAAAUUGCAAUGUGAGUAAAGAUGCUCACUAUGCGCGACAGGACGGAAAGACCCCGGAACCUUUACUGCAACUUGAUAUUGAAUGUUUGUAUGCAUUAUGCAGGAUAAGUGGGAGACUAUGAAAUAAUGGCGCUAGCUGUUAUUGAGUCGACCUUGAGAUACCACUUAAUCCAUAUUGACCUUCUAACCUAGAUCCGUUAUCCGGAUCAGGGACAUUGUCUGGUGGGCAGUUUCACUGGGGCGGUGGCCUCCUAAAAAGUAACGGAGGCGCUCUAAGGUCACCUCAGCGUGGACGGCAAUCACGCAUCGAGUGUAAGUGCAAAAGGUGGCUUGACUGUGACACAAACAAGUGGAGCAGGUACGAAAGUAGGAACUAGUGAUCCCAUGGUUGCAUGUGGGUGCGCCAUGGCUCAUCGGCUAAAAGGUACUCCGGGGAUAACAGGCUUAUACCCCCCAAGAGUCCAUAUCGACGGGGGUGUUUGGCACCUCGAUGUCGGCUCUUCUCAUCCUGGGGCUGGAGCAGGUCCCAAGGGUUAGGCUGUUCGCCUAUUAAAGAGGAACGCGAGCUGGGUUCAGAACGUCGUGAGACAGUUCGGUCCCUAUCCGUCGCGCACGUAAGAAAUUUGAAGAAAGUUGUCCCUAGUACGAGAGGACCGGGAUGAACGAUCCGCUGGUGUGCCAGUUGUUCUGCCAAGAGCACCGCUGGUUAGCUACGAUCGGACGGGAUAAGCGCUGAAAGCAUCUAAGUGCGAAGCCCCUUCUAAGAUAAGAUUUCUCAUCGGGUUAACCGAUUAAGACUCCUUAUAGAACAUGAGGUUGAUAGGUCAGAAGUGUAAUUACAGUAAUGUAUGUAGCUGACUGAUACUAAUAAGUCGAGGGCUUGAACUG